UAAAAGAUCCAAUUUGAAAAGUAUCGAAUUUUUAAAAGGUCCAAUUUGGAAAGCAUUAAAUUUUUAAAAGGUCCAAUUUGGAAAGCAUCGAAUUUGCAAAGAAUCUAAUUUAGAUUACGUUAAUUACAUUAAUUACGUUAACACUUAGGCCAACUCAAUCUUCUGCGAAUGCAACAUGGUUACAUAGGAUCGCAAUAUUAGGUUUAUAAGUUUAGCUAAGUAGACAAUGAAAAGAAAACGACUAAGAAAACCGAGCUUGCUUUAUUAUUACACUUUCAUCGUUUAUGUAAUUAUAUUGAUUUCUUUCUUUUCCUGUAUAAGCUUCGUUGCACCAUCCCUUCUAAUUUCUUCUCUAAUCGUUUAUCGCGAGGAACUCUGAUAAUAUACAUAUAUAUAUUUGAUACAGAUUUCAAUGCGAUUUAAGCUCAGUGAAAAAAAAAUGAAUUAACGAUAUUCACGUCAUCUCGUUCAAUCGACUAAAAUGUAAUCCCUUCUUUAGGAUAAAAGAAAAAAAAAAAAGCGAAUUCUCGAAAUAUAUGUAAUCACAACUGUAUGUAUCGCCUGAGGGAAAAAUCAAAUAACUAUAACGUAUUUUUUUUAAUUCACGGAAUAGAUUGUGUGGAGUAUAACGAAGGAUAAGCAAAGACGAAACAAAGAAGUGGAGAAAAGUAAAGGAAUGAACGAUUAAGGUGUAGUCGCAAAUAAAUUCAUUCGAAAAAAAAAAAGAAAUUGUGAACAACAGCAACACGAAACAACCGCAGAACAAAAAAAAGAAAAUAACUCUUCUGUCCAAUUAGAACAAUACUAACGCUAUCAAUAAUGAACAUAUUACUAUACGUAAUAUUUAUUGAAUAUAAAUAAUUAAAAAAACAACACCGUAACGUGACGUUUCUUUGUUGCGACAAAAAAUGGGACUUGUUCUCGCGUACAAACGUGAAUUAAAAAAGAAAAAAAAAAAAAGAAGAGUCUUUGUACGAGAAAAGAAACGUCGCGAUCGAACGGUAAUAUCUCUGUCCAUUUUUUGGUAAUUCAAGAUUAUUAAAGAUGAAAGAAAAUUAAGACUCAUAAAUGUCACAGUGAUGCUACAUGCCUGCCUGGCAUAGGAUAUAAUAAAAUUCUUCGUUUCAGACAACAGGUUUUUAGUUUUUCUUUUAACGUUACAUUUGUUUCUUUUUUUCUAUUCGUUUCGUUGAGUUUUAAUCCUCUGAGUGUCAGACUAUUUUUCAGAUGAAAUAUUUCAACAAUCAUGCAUGAUCUUCAUGAAAUUUUUACAUAAUAAUAACAUAUUGGAAUUCAUUUAUUAUUAAAGAGAAAAUUUUUUAUAAAUGAAAGUAACAUCAUUAUUUGACACUCAAAGGGUUAACGAGAAAGUUUCGACAACUUGCAAUCGUUUCUUUUACACGCUAUGUUUUAUACAAUUAUUUUAUUUUUGUUUUAUAUGUACAUACAGGGUACUCAAAAAUUAAAUAAUCAAACAUUGCUGUUAUAAAGAAUGGUGUAUAUUUAUUUCAAUUUUAUGCAAUGUGAAUAAAACUUACAAAUUUCUUUAUGUGACUUUUGUAAUUAAGAAUAAAUUUUCAUUCUUAACAUUCUAAAAUCUAAGCUCCUCUUUUUAAAUUAUGGAACUAUCAAGAAAUAUAAUUUGUAAAAUAUUUUUCUUUUAAUCAUGCGACUGCAUUCUGUAUAAAAUUUGAUCGUUUAACUUUGAACAACCCUAUGUACAUUAUAAAAUAUCAAUUUUUUUUAUUUUUUUGUUGUUUAUUUUUUAAUUGCAGCGGAGCAUCUAGCAUUGACGGAGCUUACACAGCCUAUUCCAUCCCACGAUAAGACAAUGUCCAUUUUUAUCGUUAUAAUUAUCUAUGUGAUAAUCGUUCGCAACUGUACUUUGUACCCAUAACGGAUUCUAGAAAUAAUAUUUUCGACCAAUCGGUUUUACGAACUGUCUCUGGAAGACUUCCGAGUUUAACAUUACCCAACACAGAUGCAACCAGACACGGUCUAAGUUCCAAAAUAAUAAAAUAAAAACAAAUGGUUUGCACGGGUCCAGUUUCUCAGAAUAUUAAAAAAAUCUACACGAAUUUCUCUCCUAAAUAACAAAAGGCUGUGAAAAUCCUUUGCUAUUUUAUGCUGCACUCUUCUCGUUUCUCUAAUCAUCACUCUCUUUCUAUAUGCACUUAUCAUUUUUCAAACGUUCCGUGCCAUAUUUCUACAAUUACUUGUGUAGUAUAAUAAGAAUUAUUAUAUCGUCUAAAAAUUUUAUUUUAUAAUUUUUGGGCCUGUUUUUCUUUAUGCAAAAAUGAUUCACAAACGAGCAUUUAAUUCCUUUGCAAAUUUCCUCUAAAGAAAAAUUUUGAAUGCUAUCCACAGUGAGCCUACAUUUUCCAGUGUCGUCAAUUACGACAAAGUGCAAUCACGUUAAUAUUGAAUUCGGAACUCUUCUAAACGCUUCACGGUGAGAGACUGUUCGAACGAUCAUCGCUAAAAUACAUUAAAAAAAAAAAAAAAACUCACACAUGUAUAUGUAUAAUGUAAGCGAGUCGAGAUUGGUGUUAUAUUUUAAUGUAAUGUAAAGAGAGAAAAAAAAAUGAAAAGAGCAAAUAACAAAAGACAAAAACGUACGUGCGCAAAGUAAAAAAAAUACCAUCAACCACACUGGUACUUAGACGUUUAUCGACACAGUAUGUAAGAAUACUAUAGUACACGAUGUGCACCAGCUUUCAGGCCCAAUUACACAACCCUUUCCUUUCCCUUUCCCUAAUCAUCGUCCCUUCGUUUAUUGUUAGCGUAUUAACGAUAAGGAGGCUGACAUUGUACAUUGCAUUACGUCGAACUUGGUGCGACCAAAUAGCGUUGUCGACCGUGCAAUUUUCGUUCAUUGUAUGUACCUUCUCGAAUUCCCGAUUCAAAGAACCACGUAUUUUGGAAAUAAGGUUAAAGGAGUUUUUUUUCAUUCUGAACACUUUUAAACGAGAUAUUUAAUAUUUUAUGGUACUAUAAUACCGGUAUUCUGACUUGAGUACGAGCGAAUACCGGUAUUCUUUAUUUUAGAAUGGUCGCAUUUUUAUAUUUCUAGUUCUGGAGCCCAAAAAUACCGAUAUUUCAUACCUUGCAGUCCUCGAAUACCGGUAUUUUGGAUUCCAGAUUUCUCGAAAAUCUGUAUUUCCAUAUUUUGACAUGCUUAAAUACCGGUAUUCUGAUUUGAGAGCGAUAGAAUACCGGUAUUCUUUAUUUUAGGAUGGUCGAAUUUUUAUAUCUCCAGUUCUGGAACCCGAAAAUACCGAUAUUUCAUACCCUGCACUCCUCGAAUACCGGUAUUUCGGAUUCGGGAUUUCUCGAAUACCUGUAUUUCCAUAUUUCGACAUGCUUAAAUACCGGUAUUACCGCUUUCAAGAUGCUAAAAUAUAAAUUCAAUGGGUCGGGAAUUCGCGCUACUAUAAAGUAGAAUAACAUCUGUUCGAAUGUGCAGAGCAAGAGAAAUUAGUCGAGAAGAAAAUGAUCGAUACAUAGAUUGUAAGGUUUUUUGGAAAUUCUCUGUAGAUUCGUAGAUUCGCUGUGUCACUCCCUCCGGUACCUAGGUGACCGGAAAUAGGAAAGCCUAUUUUUGCAUUGCGUGAUUAAAGGCAGAGAACGUGUUUAGAGUCAGUUCCCAUUCAACUGAUAUCUAUUCGGAUGUCUUAUAUAAGACUAUGGGACGGUACAAGGACGAGUUCCGGGAUGUUCUGCUAUUUCAUUAUACACUCGCGUGAUCAAAUUAUCCCGUCUUUUCACUUGAAUUUCAUAAUUAAUUAUAAAUAUCAUUUCUUCCUUUCCUUACUUCAUUCAACUGUCAAUUAAACGUACAAAUCUUUUUUCUUUUUACGUAACUACUGACAAUAGCAAUUAAUUUUUUUGUUAAAUAGAGAUAAUUCAACGAUGACUAUGAUUUUAAAUUCAAUGAAGAUUGGGAUCUUGUUACUGUUGCAAUAUAGAAUUAUGUAACUUUUUCAUUUAAAAAGAAACAUUGACAAAUAAGAACACGAAGUAAAUCGAACUUGAACCGUCCUAAAAUUGUAACGAUACGUUGCUCUGAUCGAAAUCGUAAAAGUGCAAGAAAACUUGAUUACACGAAUGAAAAAUUUUCCAAAUAUGCCAUCGUUAAUUACUAUAUAAUCAAGUAUCAAAAUUCUACCCUCGAUAAAUUACUAAUUAUUGCAAAUUACUCGAAAACCUGACUGUACACAGAAUUCAAGGAAGCUGGUCAGGGAAAAAUCGUUCCACGUGAAUCGUGCGAUGUAAAUACGUUAAUACCAUGACUGGUUUCCAACGAAUCGUAAAAUCACUGUUACGAUCACGAUCGCAGCGACGAUCCAGCCGGCAGUGUAAUAUAAAGUAAGAAUACAUAGAUGAGAAAAAGGCGCUUAGGCGACUUUUUAUUUCGUGUUACGCAUUAGAGAGCGAGAGAGAGAGAGAGAAAGAGAACGAUUAAAUACGUCGCGUCGACGGAAAUUCAAAUUCCAUUAAUUAGAUCGAUAAUAAUUAGCAUCGUACCUUUCUCGCGCACGCUGCUGCUACUGUGCACGUUGCCCGGAGACCGUUUGUGAACUGAACGACGUGAUCGCUCACUUGCACGAGUGUAAACACAUACCGUACCAAAACAUAUGUAACUAAUCGACACCCUUUAUCCGACUGCUUGAUGGACCAGUUUCAUUCUGACAAUUUAUGCAUUGUAUAUGAUUCUUUUUUUAGUUAACAUCACUUUUCAGCGACUACCUUUUAACGCGUUCGCUAUCAGCCUCACAUUUUUUAAUAAAAUUAACCCUUUCGCUAAGAGCGAAAAUUAAUUAUAAUUAGUAAGUCUGUCGUAGAGUCCAAAGGAAAUAAUAUAAAAUACAAAAUACAUGGUUCAAAAUUAUAUUAUUUUAUAAUUAAAAAAAAAAAAAUGUUAUAUUUGAAUGCUAAUAGCGAACGAGUUAUCAGGUGCCUUAAGGUCCGUUCACAUGUGUGGCAUAAUAAUUAUUCGAAAUACCUGUAUUCUUUGUGGAAAUAUAAAAGUACUCUUUUUCGUUGAACGAUCUUCGAUUUAGAAUAUGAGAAUUUUAUUUAUAAAAAAUGUGUCUAUGUUUAAUGAGUGAACGGACCUUUAAUCACACAGAGUUAAUCAGACGCACAGAGAAAAAUCCGAUCGCAGGCGUACGCACUAGUGGCACGACGUGCUUAGACGGUGAAGAGAGAUAAAAGUAAUGAAAAGAAAAAAAAAUUUAAGAAAAUAUAUGAUUAAAAGUGUAGGUAGGUGAUAUAUUCCAUGUAACUUCUUCGAAGGAAGCUAAUCAUUCUUUUAUUAUUUCACCUUUCGUUUUUUUUAUAGCGAAUCGCGCGGUUUGUCCCCCCCACCGUUUAUUGCCGUAAACGCAGACAGAAUAUACUUACUGAAAUAAAACUUUAUUCGAUCUCGUAGGCCAUCCGCGGGACUAAAAUGAUAUAAUUAUUCUGUGGAGUACACCGGAACUGUGUCGUAAACCGAGAGAUGACUUACUGUGUAAUAGUAUUAUUUUGUAAGCAGUCAAUAAUAUUAAUAAUUAUCGGAUGUAAGCUAAACAAAAUACCGUAUCACCCUCCUCCUCCAAACCAACAUAAAAGAAACAACCAAAAAAAAAAAAAGAAAAG
This is a long non-coding RNA of Osmia bicornis bicornis, 5643 nucleotides long. RefSeq lists it as uncharacterized. Lineage: Eukaryota; Metazoa; Arthropoda; Insecta; Hymenoptera; Megachilidae. The record is from RefSeq and is a predicted model, not a curated record. The transcript is spliced from 2 exons.